UUUCAGGAAAGCCGCCGACUUAGACGGACGGAGACGGUUGUCCUGCCGCAUUUUUUUUUACUUUCACAAUCAGAUUGAAAAGCGUUGGAUGGUGGCGCGUUCACAACACUCUCUGGAUUUCCUCUUUAUGCAUCCCAGGCUUUGCCGGUUAUAGUUUUCAAGUUGAAGAAGCAGUCAGCGUUUAGCGGUUCAUUUAGCCGUUUUGUCAAAUCUUUACAUGAAGAUGACUUUUCAUGAACAAGAUCCUGAUGUUGUUAGAUGGGGUCUUCAUCAUCUUAUGGAUAUUUGUUCCGUAUCUAAUGCUGGAUCGCCUGGUGCUUUUACUCACUAUGACAAAGAUUUCUCUCGUGUUGAGUAUGUGAGCGAAGGUUAUUGUGUGUCAAAUCAUGCCAAUAUUGAGAAUGAUGAGAUGAUUGCACGUGCUUUUCAAGAAGAACUGUCACGGCUUACGUUGGAGGAGAAUCAUGGAUCACCUGAAGAGGAUCAUCAAAAAGAAUCUGUACUUGCUCAGGAUUGGCUUGCCCCUUCAAAAAGACAUGAGCUUGAUAGCAUUCAUGAACAAGAUUUGGAAAACGUAAACAGGACAUGCAACUUAUCGUUGAACAUUGAAGAAAGAUCAGGUGAUGAUGACAAUCAAUCAUGUUCCCCUGAGAUGGCAGAUGAGUCUACGCUUGAUGGUGAAGUAGGAAAGAGGAUAAAUCAAAUGGUUCCCAUCCGUCAUGUCCCUAAGGUAAAUGGAGAAGUGCCCUCUGCCGAUGAAGCAACAUCUGAUCAUCAGAGGCUGAUGGACAGAUUGCAGCUUUAUGAUCUAGUUGAACUAAAAGUUUCAGGAGAUGGUAACUGCCAGUUCCGCUCCUUGUCAGAUCAAAUUUACCGCUCGAGUGAGCACCACAAACUUGUGAGAGAGCAAGUUGUUCAUCAGCUCAAGUUUUAUCCAGAAUUGUAUGCGGCUUAUGUUCCCAUGGCUUAUGAUGAGUACUUGAAGAAAAUCAGCACGAGUGGCGAAUGGGGAGAUCAUGUCACGUUGCAGGCUGCUGCUGAUGCGUUUGGAGUCAAGAUAUUCGUCUUAACUUCAUAUAAAGAUACUUGUUACAUUGAGAUUCUACCAUGUGCUCAAAAGUCAAAGAGAAUCAUCUUCUUGAGUUUUUGGGCUGAGGUGCACUAUAAUUCAAUUUAUCCUGAAGGAGAUCUGCCGACCAUGGAGCAGAGAAAGAAGAAAAAGUGGUGGAUGCUUGGGAGUUGAAUGGCUGUAACAGAUCAUCCCCUUUGAUGGAUGCAUGGAUUGGAGGAUGUCUUAUAAACGAGAGGUUUGAUUGACUUUGCAGUAACAAGUAGCUGACGUAGAGCUCCAUCUUCAACCCGAAACAAGACAAAGAACCCUCCUCGAUCAAUUAUCUAGAAUACAAGCAUGAAGCUGUGGUGAUUCUCCGACCCAAUGAAGAAAGUUGAGUUUUCAUGCAGCCAGUAUGAUAGCAAAAGCAAUCUAGACGUCGACAUUACACGAGAUAAGGUGUUAACUCUAGUAUCUAAAAUGGUAAUCGAAUGAAACACUCAGAGUUGAAACAACACAUAUGCUUCCUAGUUCCUAAUAUUGGUUUGUUCCUGUGGUUUUGGGCAUUUUAGACAAUUUUAAGUUUCAUGUAAAAAUGGAAAAGUAUUUGUUUCGGUCUGUGCCAGUGACUGAAACAUAUGGCAAAUAUAGACUUGAAUGUAUUGUGCGCUUGGACGAGAGGUAAAAAAGGUCCUUAAUAGGUACGAAUAGACCUUCAAUAUAUUGUUUUUAUAUUAA
This is an RNA transcript of Cynara cardunculus var. scolymus (artichoke), 1789 nucleotides long. It is a transcript of the gene named OTU domain-containing protein DDB_G0284757, with no coding region annotated. The transcript has 13 exons. Lineage: Eukaryota; Viridiplantae; Streptophyta; Magnoliopsida; Asterales; Asteraceae. The record is from RefSeq and is a predicted model, not a curated record.